This 392-nucleotide unclassified non-coding RNA is filed under the name soil metagenome. RNAcentral's name for it is "partial contains 5.8S ribosomal RNA, internal transcribed spacer 2, and large subunit ribosomal RNA". The stretch from base 1 to 122 matches the Rfam family "5.8S ribosomal RNA", at positions 35 to 154 of the family's 154-position model. The record is from RNAcentral.
GAUGAAGAACGUAGCGAAAUGCGAUACUUGGUGUGAAUUGCAGAAUCCCGUGAACCAUCGAGUCUUUGAACGCAAGCUGCGCCCGAAGCCAUUAGGCCGAGGGCACGCCUGCCUGGGCGUCACACGUCGUUGCCCCCCCCAUCUACUCCUUCGGGAUUGCGGGGGGCGGAUGAUGGCCUCCCGUGCGCCUCGCCGCGCGGUUGGCAUAAAUGCCAAGUCCUCGGCGACGCACGCCACGACAAUCGGUGGUUGCGAAACCUCGGUUGCCCGUCGUGUGCGGUCGUCGCGCAUCGAGGGCUCGAAAAAAUUGCCGAGUUCCGGCUCGGCUUUCAACGCGACCCCAGGUCAGGCGGGGUUACCCGCUGAAUUUAAGCAUAUCAAUAAGCGGAGGA